GACGAACGCUGGCGGCGUGCUUAACACAUGCAAGUCGAACGGAAAGGCCCUGCUUUUGUGGGGUGCUCGAGUGGCGAACGGGUGAGUAACACGUGAGUAACCUGCCCUUGACUUUGGGAUAACUUCAUGAAACUGGGGCUAAUACCGGAUAGGAGCUCCUGCUGCAUGGUGGGGGUUGGAAAGUUUCGGCGGUUGGGGAUGGACUCGCGGCUUAUCAGCUUGUUGGUGGGGUAGUGGCUUACCAAGGCUUUGACGGGUAGCCGGCCUGAGAGGGUGACCGGCCACACUGGGACUGAGAUACGGCCCAGACUACUACGGGAGGCAGCAGUGGGGAAUAUUGCACAAUGGGCGGAAGCCUGAUGCAGCAACGCCGCGUGCGGGAUGUCGGCCUUCGGGUUGUAAACCGCUUUCGCCUGUGACGAAGCGUGAGUGACGGUAAUGGGUAAAGAAGCACCGGCUAACUACGUG
RNAcentral lists this ribosomal RNA (468 nucleotides) under uncultured bacterium. RNAcentral describes it as "partial 16S ribosomal RNA". It matches the Rfam family "Bacterial small subunit ribosomal RNA", at positions 28 to 507 of the family's 1533-position model. The record is from RNAcentral.